RNAcentral lists this ribosomal RNA (505 nucleotides) under uncultured bacterium. RNAcentral describes it as "partial 16S ribosomal RNA". It matches the Rfam family "Bacterial small subunit ribosomal RNA", at positions 28 to 507 of the family's 1533-position model. The record is from RNAcentral.
GACGAACGCUGGCGGCGUGCCUAAUACAUGCAAGUAGAACGCACAGUUUAUACCGUAGCUUGCUACACCAUAGACUGUGAGUUGCGAACGGGUGAGUAACGCGUAGGUAACCUGCCUGGUAGCAGGGGAUAACUAUUGGAAACGAUAGCUAAUACCGCAUAAUAUUAAUUAUUGCAUGAUAAUUAAUUGAAAGGUGCAAUUGCACCACUACCAGAUGGACCUGCGUUGUAUUAGCUAGUAGGUGAGGUAACGGCUCACCUAGGCGACGAUACAUAGCCGACCUGAGAGGGUGAUCGGCCACACUGGGACUGAGACACGGCCCAGACUCCUACGGGAGGCAGCAGUAGGGAAUCUUCGGCAAUGGACGAAAGUCUGACCGAGCAACGCCGCGUGAGUGAAGAAGGGUUUCGGAUCGUAAAGCUCUGUUGUAAGAGAAGAACGGGUGUGAGAGUGGAAAGUUCACACUGUGACGGUAGCUUACCAGAAAGAGACGGCUAACUACGUG